Microcebus murinus (gray mouse lemur) is the source of this 428-nucleotide non-coding RNA. NCBI's taxonomy places the organism in Eukaryota, Metazoa, Chordata, Mammalia, Primates, Cheirogaleidae. The record is from the annotation of a RefSeq genome assembly.
UCUCACACUAAGGAGUCAAGAUCGAAGGACCUCAGAAGGCUCUAAAAAUGAACUCUUUCCCAGGACCAGUGAUUGUACUACUCUUAAUGUUUGGAGGAAGCCACGGAGACUCAGUGACCCAGACGGAAGGCCAAAUGCUCCUCACUGAAAGGGAUUCUCUGAUUGUGAACUGCUCCUAUGAAACCAGCCAGUACCCUUCCCUUUUCUGGUAUGUCCAAUAUCCAGGCGAAGGUCCACAGCUCCUCCUGAAAGCCAUGAAGGCCAAUGAUAAAGGAAUCAACAAAGGUUUUGAAGCCACAUAUAAUAGAGAAACCACCUCCUUCCACUUGCAGAAAGCCUCCGUCCACGAGUCAGAUUCAGCUGUGUACUACUGUGCUCUGAGUGACACAGUGACAGGAACCACAGGGGGAACUGAGCACAAACUCUGA